This 449-nucleotide ribosomal RNA is filed under the name uncultured bacterium. Its description in RNAcentral is "bacterial SSU rRNA". It matches the Rfam family "Bacterial small subunit ribosomal RNA", at positions 355 to 796 of the family's 1533-position model. The record is from RNAcentral.
UAGGGAAUCUUCCACAAUGGACGAAAGUCUGAUGGAGCAAUGCCGCGUGAGUGAAGAAGGUUUUCGGAUCGUAAAACUCUGUUGUGAGGGAAGAACAAGUACGGGAGUAACUGUCCGUACCUUGACGGUACCUCAUUAGAAAGCCACGGCUAACUACGUGCCAGCAGCCGCGGUAAUACGUAGGUGGCAAGCGUUGUCCGGAAUUAUUGGGCGUAAAGCGCGCGCAGGCGGCCUUUUAAGUCUGAUGUGAAAGCCCACGGCUCAACCGUGGAAGGUCAUUGGAAACUGAAAGGCUUGAGUACAGAAGAGGAAAGCGGAAUUCCACGUGUAGCGGUGAAAUGCGUAGAGAUGUGGAGGAACACCAGUGGCGAAGGCGGCUUUCUGGUCUGUAACUGACGCUGAGGCGCGAAAGCGUGGGGAGCAAACAGGAUUAGAUACCCGCGUAGUCC